RNAcentral lists this ribosomal RNA (200 nucleotides) under uncultured bacterium. Its description in RNAcentral is "partial 16S ribosomal RNA". It matches the Rfam family "Bacterial small subunit ribosomal RNA", at positions 28 to 232 of the family's 1533-position model. The record is from RNAcentral.
GAUGAACGCUAGCGGCAGGCUUAACACAUGCAAGUCGAGGGGUAUAGUUCUUCGGAAUUAGAGACCGGCGCACGGGUGCGUAACGCGUAUGCAAUCUACCUUUUGCAGAGGGAUAGCCAGAGAAAUUUGGAUUAAUACCUCAUAGUAUAGCACAACCGCAUGGUUGAGUUAUUAAAGUCACAACGGCAAAAGAUGAGCAU